CGCCGUUGUACUACUAAGGCUCUGCCUUGCGGUGGCUGCUUCCCUGCCUUUGUUUGAGGGCGGGGGACGGCCCAAACCCAUGGGCGUUCUCGCAAGACGAUCCAGCGUAGCAAGUCUCUCGCUGGGUUGGCUCUUGACGGGGGCGCCAGUAUCAACGAACGUUUGGCCUCGGAUCAGGUAGGGAUACCCGCUGAACUUAA
Molecule: unclassified non-coding RNA, 200 nt
Filed under: soil metagenome
Description: partial contains internal transcribed spacer 2 and large subunit ribosomal RNA
Source: RNAcentral